RNAcentral lists this ribosomal RNA (253 nucleotides) under uncultured bacterium. Its description in RNAcentral is "partial 16S ribosomal RNA". It matches the Rfam family "Bacterial small subunit ribosomal RNA", at positions 524 to 776 of the family's 1533-position model. The record is from RNAcentral.
UACGGGGGGGGCAAGCGUUGUUCGGAAUUACUGGGCGUAAAGCGUGCGCAGGCGGUUUUGUAAGCCAGAUGUGAAAUCCCCGGGCUUAACCUGGGAAUGGCAUUUGGGACUGCAAGGCUUGAGUGCGGCAGAGGAGACUGGAAUUCCUGGUGUAGCAGUGAAAUGCGUAGAUAUCGGGAGGAACACCAAUUGCGAAGGCAGCUCGCUGGGACGUUACUGACGCUGAGACGCGAAAGCGUGGGGAGCAAACAUG